This 456-nucleotide ribosomal RNA is filed under the name uncultured bacterium. RNAcentral describes it as "bacterial SSU rRNA". It matches the Rfam family "Bacterial small subunit ribosomal RNA", at positions 923 to 1379 of the family's 1533-position model. The record is from RNAcentral.
GCACAAGCGGUGGAGCAUGUGGUUUAAUUCGACGCAACGCGAAGAACCUUACCUGGGCUCGAAAUGUUAUGGACCGGAGUGGAAACAUUCCUUUCCCGCAAGGGACCAUAAUAUAGGUGCUGCAUGGCUGUCGUCAGCUCGUGUCGUGAGAUGUUGGGUUAAGUCCCGCAACGAGCGCAACCCUUAUCUUCAGUUGCUACCAUUUAGUUGAGCACUCUGACGAAACCGCCUCGGAUAACGGGGAGGAAGGUGGGGAUGACGUCAAGUCCUCAUGGCCUUUAUGUCCAGGGCUACACACGUGCUACAAUGGUCGGUACAAACCGUCGCAAACCCGUGAGGGGGAGCUAAUCGGAAAAAGCCGACCUCAGUUCGGAUCGUAGUCUGCAACUCGACUACGUGAAGCUGGAAUCGCUAGUAAUCGCGGAUCAGAAUGCCGCGGUGAAUACGUUCCCGGGC